CGACCGGCGCACGGGUGAGUAACGCGUAUGCAACCUGCCCGUUUCAGCGGGAUAACCCGGAGAAAUCCGGCCUAAUACCGCAUGUGGCCGAGGGGAGGCAUCUUCUUUCGGCCAAAGGAGGCGACUCCGGAGACGGAUGGGCAUGCGUGACAUUAGCUUGUUGGCGGGGUAACGGCCCACCAAGGCGACGAUGCGUAGGGGUUCUGAGAGGAAGGUCCCCCACAUUGGAACUGAGACACGGUCCAAACUCCUACGGGAGGCAGCAG
This 266-nucleotide ribosomal RNA is filed under the name uncultured bacterium. RNAcentral describes it as "partial 16S ribosomal RNA". It matches the Rfam family "Bacterial small subunit ribosomal RNA", at positions 92 to 354 of the family's 1533-position model. The record is from RNAcentral.